RNAcentral lists this small RNA (2186 nucleotides) under Rattus norvegicus (Norway rat). RNAcentral's name for it is "uncharacterized LOC102554040". Lineage: Eukaryota; Metazoa; Chordata; Mammalia; Rodentia; Muridae. The record is from RNAcentral.
GGGGCAGGCUCGGGGAGGAGCGCAACUGGGAGGAUGUAGACUCCGGCUCCAGGCUAAGCAUUCAUCCAGUGCACAACCGCUUCCUCUGUUCUGAGGAAGGUGUCAAUCAAGCUCUCUGCGGUUCAUAGAAGGAAACUGAGGCUCGGAGCAUGGAAGGCAGAUCCGAAGGGGCUUGAGGUAGUGGGAAGGAGACUCAGGAUUUCACCAAGGCUAGGCCUGGGACAAAGAGUGCACUGGGCGUGGGUAGCCUGCGGUGCAAAGCUAACACUAUAAAGGGAGGGCCUUCGGAGGCAAAGCCCUCCGACUGUGAAAUAGCUCCCCGCAAGAAGAGCCGUGAUGUGCAGUCAGCCAGCAGCUUGCCCUACUGAAGAAACUGAAGGAGAAAUUUUUUUUCCUAACGUCACACAGAAGUAAUGAAGGAGAAAUGCCAAGGCAACCCUUCUUAAAAUGUGAACAGUAGCUAGGCGUAAGAGUCAGGAGGCAUACACCGGAACUCCUGACGUGUCCAGCCCACGGACUCUGGGCUCGUCGAAGCCUCAGUGCAACCUCUUGUCAGAUGAGAGGGAAAGAUGCUUAGCAAAAUGGCAAACCCGGUGGAUCCCUCAUAAACCAAGGUUCGCAUUAGUGCGAAGGCAAAAUACUCUCUGGGGCACUGGUCAGAAAGAUGUGUGUGAGAGUACUUCCGUGCCCGUGUGAGACGGGAUUUCCCCCAUGGCGUCAGACACCAUUUGGAAAAUGGAGCAUUUAUAAUGGAGCGGAAUGCUGCAAACGCAGCUUCUCUAGGGAAGAAUUCGCCUACCACACCAACGUGAAGCUCUAACACAGGUAAAAACACCCUGGGAUCCCAUAAUUACAAACUGACAAGGCUGGUGUUUCAGUAACAGAGAAAGCAAGACCUCAGAAUGUGUUUCCUAGUUUGGUCUUUCAUGAGAAGUAGCCAGGAAAGCCACAAGGCCUCCGGGGAAUCCCAGGCUGGCUCUUCCUCCUGCCUACUCCUCUUAGCACAGCAUAAGUCAUUCCUAAGGUAGGCAUCACGACGUGAGAUGAGCAAGCCACAGAAAGGGCUGCGGAGCUCUCUUGGCUCUGGCUCAUUUGUUCCAUACCCUGUGUCAUACUCUGCCGUUCUUCCUGGCUUGGCCAGCACUGCCCAGUGGCCACAUGAAGGGACGCUCACAUCCCUCUCAGCUAAUCAGUUUUUUUCAGAGGCUGCCUGUGGCCCUCCCAGUAUGGGCUGAAGGCAAAAGUACAAGCUGCUUGGCCCUGCGCGCCGACUCUGAGCCCUGGCACGCUUACACUUUGGAAUUACCUAACGCAUCCUUUCCAACCCCAGCAGUGUCUUCCAGACAAAGGGAAGGAAAUCUGAACUCUGUGUCUCCCUCAAGCUGUUGGGAUAUAGGAAAGACUAGAGAACAUUUUGUUCAAGCCCUCCUGUCAGAGAAGAGGUGACUGAGGUUCCAGAGUGCAGAGGGACUGUACCUCUGAUCAUUCUACUCAGUCGCUGGAGAAGCAGAGAGCCGUCGUCCAAAAUGACUGCAACUAAUUCUAGGGAUGAAGAUGGAGUCAUAAGGGGAUGCUUGCAGAGGAAGGGCCUUCACGCCCUCGUGUUCACAGAUGUCCAGGGGAUAUUCUAAGGUGCCCGUUCAGGUCACGUUUGCUGUGCAGGUGUUCUAGAAGUCCCUUCAGCUCCAUGUCUGUCUUAGUCAGACUGUUUCUAUUGCCGUGACAAGGCACUGUGACCAGAAAGCCCCUCAAAUGCACACGAUCUUUAAGUUCCCCCCUGGAUGCUGAUCCUGCGUGCAGCACUGGAGAGAGCACCGGAAGUCCAGGUCCCCGCCUCGACAGCAGCACAUGCGCAUUACUAUAAUAAUUAGACAAGACCAACGGACCUCCCCUCGUACUUGUGUUAGGAUACCAAACGGAAAUCAGCAACGGUGGUAAGAUCUAACAGAAACCGCCAGUCCUCUGUCAAAUCGGCACGAGUCAGGGGGAGCGACCAGGACCAGCCAGGACUCCAGGAGAAGUUUUCUGCCGUGCCUCUCUCAACAAAGAUCAGCAAAGACAAAGACUCGAGACCAACCAAUGAAGCGAGGCAAGGUCUUCUUACCUUAGCAAAACAACACGUGAUUCCGUAUCACGUGACGUAUCCAGAAACUUACACCUCCAGUGUCCUUCAUUUUUGCCCGUGG